This 264-nucleotide long non-coding RNA is filed under the name Cicer arietinum (chickpea). Its description in RNAcentral is "long non-coding RNA (CARI_LNC001618)". The record is from RNAcentral. Lineage: Eukaryota; Viridiplantae; Streptophyta; Magnoliopsida; Fabales; Fabaceae.
UUCCCUUCCUCUCCGUAACAUCAAUAACCGUUUCACACGUUCCCUUAACCUCCGUCUCUCCGCCAAAUCAAACGACGCCGUCAAUCCCAAUGCCGCUUCCUCUUCCUCUUCAUUCACUCGUCAAUCUUGGUCCAUUUCUCCUUCCUCUUCUUUCAAAUUCAGACCUCUUCCUCUCCUUUCAACCUCCGAUCCCUCUCCUCCUAGAGCCACUUCCGUUCCCGAAUCCGCCGGCGAAUCUGCCGACUCUAGUUCGUUGAUUAAGAC